ACGUAUCCACGUAUCAACUCGAGAACUGUCCCCUUUAGAGUAAACACUUGUGGAUGGAGUUUAUGACUGAAUGACUUCGCUGAUGGAGUUCACGGAUUUUUAUCUGAGAACUGAAAGGCUUUCGGUCGCUGGCUCAAACGCUUGCGUUUUUGCUGGGACUUCGUUUACUCUACUGCGGUUAUUACCAUCGGCGUCUGUUUCACCAUUAUUAACCCUUUGAAAAUUAUGAACUGAACUUGAAAACUUGCUGCGGCUUCCGUCGUUGGCCUCGGUCACGGGAUGCUUAACGUAGCUUCGUUUUCCUCAUUACAAAACAAAAGAACAACUCUUAGCAACGGAUAUCUUGGUUCU
Molecule: unclassified non-coding RNA, 351 nt
Filed under: rhizosphere metagenome
Description: partial ribosomal RNA internal transcribed spacer region
Source: RNAcentral